Molecule: ribosomal RNA, 368 nt
Filed under: Boophis rhodoscelis
Lineage: Eukaryota; Metazoa; Chordata; Amphibia; Anura; Mantellidae
Description: partial 16S ribosomal RNA
Rfam family: Bacterial large subunit ribosomal RNA
Source: RNAcentral
AUUAAACGGCCGCGGUACCCUAACCGUGCGAAGGUAGCAUAAUCACUUGUUCUUUAAAUGAGGACUAGUAUCAAUGGCAUCACGAGGAUCUUACUGUCUCCCCGCUCCAAUCAGUGAAACUGAUCUCUCCGUGAAGAAGCGGGGAUAUUUAUAUAAGACGAGAAGACCCCAUGGAGCUUUAAACCCAACAGCACCUAUUCUUUUUAUAUCUUCAUAUUCUCCUAGUAAAUGCUUGUUUGGUUUUAGGUUGGGGUGACCACGGAGUAAAAAACAACCUCCACGAAAAAGGAGCUAAUAACUCUUAUCAAAGAAUCACACUUCCAUGAAUUAGUAAACUAAUUUUUAAUGAUCCGAUUUUCGAUCAACGA